RNAcentral lists this ribosomal RNA (1998 nucleotides) under Triticum aestivum (bread wheat). RNAcentral's name for it is "partial small subunit ribosomal RNA". The record is from RNAcentral. Lineage: Eukaryota; Viridiplantae; Streptophyta; Magnoliopsida; Poales; Poaceae.
AUGGAAAAUUCAUCAUUGCAGCAUCUAUCAAAAUACAGCUCUUUGAGAGCAUUAAAGCUCUGUUUGUGGGGUUCAUUUCCGCUGAAACCAAAGCAUUUACAUCACCUGAGGUACCUAGAUCUCUCAAGAAGUAGAUAUAUCAAAGCACUUGCUGAAGAUAUGAGCAUUCUAUACAACCUGCAAACGCUGGACCUCUCUGGCUGCAUAUGUCUUUGUCGACUUCCGAGACAAAUGAAGUAUAUGACUGCGCUCCGUCACCUUUACACUCAUGGUUGUCCAAAGCUGGAGAGCAUGCCUGGAGACCUCUCAAAACUAACAGCCCUACAGACACUUACAUGUUUUGUAGCAAGCAGUGACUCUAAUUGCAGCAAUGUUGGUGAGCUCGGGAGCUUGAACCUUGGUGGUCAACUGGAGCUAUGUCAUCUGGAGAACGUGGAAGAAGCUGCUGCAAAAGAUGCAAACCUCGUGAAGAAGAAGGAACUAACAGAACUGACAUUAAAAUGGAGCUUUGGAUCGGAUAACAUUGUUGGUGAACAUAGCAGUCGGGAUGAUGCAAGACUGCUCGAGCAACUUAAACCUCAUGAUGGGUUGCAUGCUAUAAGGAUACACGCCUAUGGAGCCACCACCUUUCCAACAUGGACAGCUAUGUUGCAAAACAUUGUUGCGGUCCAUCUUUAUGGUUGUAACAAACUGCAAUGGUUCUUUAGUGGUGACACUAAUACAUCCUUUGCAUUUGCAAAUCUGAAGAUGCUAACGUUGCAAGAGCUUGUCUGUUUUGAGAGAUGGUGGGAAAUAGAUAAUGGAAUGCAAGCAGAAGUGAUCAUGUUUCCUCAGCUUGAGAAGUUGUGUAUUAGUCACUGUGAAAAGUUGACAGCAUUCCCAGGGCUGCCGACCUUCCCUAACCUCCAGAACACUCGUAUUGAGGGAUGUCCAGAGUUGACAACUAUAGUUGAAUCACCAAAGCUCAGUGUAUUAAAGAUGGAAGGACGUGAUGUACAGUUGUUCCAGUGGGUAGCCGGGCAUAUGACUUCAUUGACCAACCUGGACCUGCAUAGCCUUGUGGACAGUACAGAAACAACCUCAGUGGCUGCUGAGCAUGGUUUGAGGGAAUUAGUGGAUGGCAUGGACAAACGGAGUGAUCAUGAUUUUCCUCUGACAGUUUUGGUGUUACAAAACUUUCAGCUAGAUGUAACAGAGCUGUGUUCCUGUUUUGUACACCUGCAAGAUUUGUCAUUUUGUAGGUGCCAUGCACUCCUCCACUGGCCAGAAAAAGAGUUUGAAGGAUUGGUAUCCUUGAGGAAGCUUACGAUUGACCAAUGCGAGAAUCUGACUGGAUAUGCACAUGCUUCUACCAAGCCAUCAACAUCAUCAGAAACAAGUCAGCUCCUUCCACGUCUAGAUGUACUAGUGCUACGGAACUGUGGAAGUUUGGUUGAGGUCUUCAAUGUCCCUGCAUCCCUCACGGUAAUGGAAAUUAUGUAUUGCAAGAAGCUUGAGUCUAUUUCCGGCAGGAGGCUGCAGCAGGGACAGUCAGCAUCACCGAUUCAUCAAGGGUCAUCUAGUAUAGCAGAGGUGUCAUCAUCAUCAUCACCCGGAGAUUGCGCGGAGAACUUAGAAAAACUAAAAAUAGAUGAGUGUCAUAGCUUAAAAGGGGCCCUCCAUCUUCCCUCGCCGCUCAAGGUUCUAAACAUUGUUAACUGCGGUGGGUUGACAUCUCUGGAAUCUCGCUCGGGAGAGCUCUCAUCGUUGGAGCGCCUCAUACUCCGGGGUUGCAAUUCCCUGGCUUCCCUACCGGAUGGGCUGCAGGCAUACUUAUACGUCCAGCGCCUUACAGUUAGAUCCUGCCCUGGUAUUAAGACGCUCCCCGCAAGCCUGCACAAACGGCUGGACAACAUCGAGAAGAAAAACAUAGAUGCCCAUUAUUAUGAAGAUUCAUCAAGGCCCAUCCCUAUCCUUUUGAAACCGAAGACAUGGGCAUAUGCCAUCCGUAGAGAUUAG